UACGAAGGGUGCAAGCGUUACUCGGAAUUACUGGGCGUAAAGCGUGCGUAGGUGGUUUGUUAAGUCUGAUGUGAAAGCCCUGGGCUCAACCUGGGAACGGCAUUGGAAACUGGCUUACUAGAGUGCGGUAGAGGGGUGUGGAAUUCCCGGUGUAGCAGUGAAAUGCGUAGAUAUCUGGAGGAACACCGGUGGCGAAGGCGGCAUCCUGGACCAACACUGACACUGAGGAGCGAAAGCCAGGGGAGCAAACGGG
Molecule: ribosomal RNA, 253 nt
Filed under: uncultured bacterium
Lineage: Bacteria
Description: partial 16S ribosomal RNA
Rfam family: Bacterial small subunit ribosomal RNA
Source: RNAcentral